Long non-coding RNA from Hemicordylus capensis (graceful crag lizard), 315 nucleotides. RefSeq lists it as uncharacterized. The transcript has 3 exons. Lineage: Eukaryota; Metazoa; Chordata; Lepidosauria; Squamata; Cordylidae. The record is from RefSeq and is a predicted model, not a curated record.
UGGAUGGACCCGUUGCCAGGGAGCUGACUGGAAGGCGGCCAACAUGGAGGUGAUGGCCUCGAUGCAUUCUGCAGGUUGACAGUGAGUCCUAGAACAGCCAGAAGAGAGAGGGUAAAUUGUAAGUUGGGCUGCAGAGCAGACUUGUCCUUAUCCGAAAAAAGCCAGUCAUCUGGGCUGAUGGGGAAGACUGAUACUCCAUGAACACACAGGAUCCGAGGGAUAGGAGCAGAUUCCUCCCCAGGCAGUGAGAGCAGCAGACGAGAAGGAACUGAAGAGGGAGGUGCUCUACUGCUGGAACCAUAGGCACCCUUUGAG